GUGUGGGUGGGACGUUAAGCUGAGUGAUGAUGAUGAUGAUGAUGAUGGUGGUGGUGAUGGUGAUGGUGGAUGCGGUGGUCAGCAAAACAACACCGCAGGUGUGGAAAUUGCCUGCCAGUGCCCAUAGACUAAUUGAAAGACAGGUGUAUCCGUUUACCUGUCGGGGGAAGACUUACGGCUACUAUGCUGACCCUGCUAGUGGUUGUCAGGUCUUCCACAUCUGCUACCCAUACCUGUCAACGGAUGGGUCCUCGAGACAGGUGUUCAAGUGGUCCUUUACCUGCCCGCCACACACCGUCUUCGAUAAGAAGACUCUCACCUGUGCAGUACCUGGGGGGAAUGUGCCCUGCGGCGAUGACACGAACGACUUCUACUUCGACAGUGAUUCCCCUACCUUGAGACGGGACGAGAUAUAGGUCGGAGUUCUCAGACGCUUCCUCGUCUCACAUUAACUUCCUAAGGCCUAAGAGGAGAUUAAUCGCGUUCUCGUUAGUUUGUUUGUUUUUUACGUUUAUGGCACAGCUUUGUAAAACUACCAAUACUCAUAAAUCUACUGGAAAUACCCACAACUACGAAAGUCAUGUCAAAGGUGUGUGGUUGGGCGCCGGAAUGGUUAAAAAAUAUGACCCAUAGCCUCGCAUUCUCAGAUAUUUUCGGUUCUCACAACGUUCUAUAGAUCUUGCUCGCAACAACGAUUUAUAAAGGCUACAACGGAGAUUAGUCGAGUUCUCAUGAGUGUUUUCUUGUUCAUUUCACACGAACCUUGUUGAACUAUCCUUGGGUACAGUCCCAGAACUGAAUCACGAGUACUCAAUUUCCUCCCUUUUAUUUAUUUUCUUUCCUCUCUUUCUUUUUUAUUCUUUUCUUUCUCUUCCCAGAACCCAGAGAAUAAAAAGCAAAAUAUAGACUACCCUUCCCUUUAAAAAUACAAACAAUAAAAUACGAGAGAAAAUGGACUUUGUACAUAACACUACCCACGGAAGUACUAACUCACCUCCACGAGAGCCUCAUCAAAUAGGAAUACGGUGAAGUGGUUUGAUUUAGCGUAAAUUAGUUUAUUACAAAUGUGUUUUGAGGAUGAGGCUCCACAAACAUGAAAAGAAAAAAAAUCACGUUUCCAUGACCUGUGCUGGAAAGUCAGGCUGCCUAUUAGUAAACCAAGUCUUGCCAAUACAACUGAAUCUGCAAAAUUUCACUCCACGACACGAUUUUGAACUCCAAAACAGAGGCACAAGACCUCUGAUUAUUUUUUCAACCCGGUGGCAGGGGAUGGAGGCGCCUGGUCUAACCUCCACUUGAACCUGUCAGUUGAAUUUGCAUUAGAAAAUAUGAAUACACACCUACACGUCCGGUCCAGCCAUCCGAUAGCCUAAUAGUUAAGCAGCUGUAGCGCAUACUCCCAAUUCUACAUUUACAUUCUCUUUACCUGUAGGCUACACUUGAAUCUGCAAUUAUCCUAACGACACUAUUUCACACAUGCAAAUUAUGAAAAGCAAAUUAUUAUAGUAAACCGUCUUGCCUAUACCCUUGAGCUUGCAAUUUUCCCUCCACGACCCGAUUUCCGAACUCUAGGGUAGGCUAUUUGCACACUUGACUUCCCCCUCUAUAUGCCCCUUGUAAACCAGUCCCAAACGAGACAAAGAAACUCUGCUGAAUCCUUAUUAUACAACGCUUGGCAGGUGAAGGAGGCGCCACAGACGGUGCUCGGGGGCGGGGCGGCGGAGGGCGAGGCUACUCUCAUUUGUUGGGGCCGGACGCGCUGAGGCUACGGCCAGUCCUGACUGACCGUCGGAUCCCCCGCAGAGAAAGUUGACCUCGGCCUCCCCGCCCCGAGGACACGCCAUAGCGAUGCUACGGGCAGUCCUCGGAAGAAACAGAAUACAGGAGGAGGGACGCACCGGGAGGGGCCCCGAAACGCGUCCCGCCUGCUCAGAGUCCGGGCCGCAUCUGAAGGACUGAAGGUGGAGGGAAGAAAAAUGUAAAACGUAAUCAAAGUUAAAGCGUCGACCUGGUUCACGGGAUUCAUUACGAACCCUUUAUUAUUCUCUUGAAGUAUUCAUUUAUAUUUAGGCGAGUAGUGUCAGAGGUGUGGCUGUUAGAUGAGUGGCCCAUGCAGAUGAAAUUAAGAGUUAGCUUAUGCGAAUAUAACUGAAAGGCUUAUAUGGAAAUUUCAUAGAUGGAAAAGAAACAUAGUGAGUAAAGUUUGUUUUAAGGAUGAGUUAGCAAAAUAGGAAAAUAAUAAAGGGCUCGUAAUGAAUCCCGUGAACCAGGUCGACGCUUUAACUUUGAUUACGUUUUACAUUUUUCUUCCCUUCACCUUCAGAUGCGGCCCGGACUCUGAGCAGGCGGGACGCGUUUCGGAGCCCGUCCCGGGGCGUCCCUCCUCCUCCUGUAUUCUGUUUCUUCCGAGGACUGCCCGUAGCAUCGCUAUGGCGUGUCCUCGGGGCGGGGAGGCCGAGGUCAACUUUCUCUGCGGGGGAUCCGACGGUCAGUCAGGACUGGCCGUAGCCUCAGAGCGUCCGGCCCCAACAAAUGAGAGUAGCCUCGCCCUCCGCCGCCGAGCACCGUCUGUGGCGCCUCCUUCACCUGCCAAGCGCUAUAAUAAAGGGACUCAGAAAUCUCGUGCAUUGUUUGUAGUCUGGAAAUCGUGUCGUUAGGGAUGAUUGCAGGUCCAGGUUUUUAGGCACGGUAAAUGGUUGGGAACAUACCCUUGAGCUGGUUUAAUAAUAGGCUAUCGGAGGAAUGGACCAGACGGGUAGCUGUUUUUAUUUUUCACAGUGCAAAUACAACUGGCAGGUUCAAAAGGAGUUAGACCAGGCGGCUCCUUCCUCUGCCAAUGGGGUGGAAAAAAGGAUUCAGAGUUCUCUUGUCUCAGUUUGGGGCUCGGAAAUCGUGUCGUGGAGAGAAAAUUUGCAGGUUGAAGAGUGUAGGGAAGACUUGGUGUAGCCUACAAAUAGACUACCGGACGUUUCCAGCACAAUAUAUCUAAUACCAAUUAAAUUUUCAAGUGAAAUUUCUCUUUUUCCAUCUUUUUGAUAACUCAUCCUCAACAAUUAUAAUAGGCUAAUUUACGUUAAGGGAGCGUCGGCCAUGUUCAUUCUUGGUGGGGACACCGUUUUUGUAGAUUUUCUGUGGUGAAUGUCUAAAGCUGUACUUUCUCAUGGUGUAGAAUUCCUCCACAAAAUAUUUAAUUCCCAACCAUUUUAAAGAGGUAUCAGGAUUCACGAUUUGUAAUUUCCUUAAAUUUUUGUGUUUUCUAGUGGGUGAUACUCCAUUCAGAGGCUACGUGAAUAGUGAAAAAUAUGGAGUUAAUUAAAUGGAAGUGAUGAAGGGUGGGGAGACGAUGGAAGGUAUGAUACAUAAUUAUGAUUGUUUUAGUCUUGUUUCAUAUAAAACACUAAUAGAGCAGUUAAAAGUUUUAUACGCGGAUACAGAGUGCAAAGUACCAGCCUCUGCCUUUAUUAAUAAAUGUCUAGCUAACCUGUUC
Molecule: long non-coding RNA, 3487 nt
Organism: Eriocheir sinensis (Chinese mitten crab)
Lineage: Eukaryota; Metazoa; Arthropoda; Malacostraca; Decapoda; Varunidae
Exons: 5
Source: RefSeq, a predicted model, not a curated record